CGGCGGACGGGUGAGUAACACGUGGGCAACCUGCCUGUAAGACUGGGAUAACUCGCGGAAACGUGAGCUAAUACCGGAUAAUGUCUUUCCUCGCAUGAGGGAGGGCUGAAAGACGGCCUUUGUGCUGUCACUUACAAAUGGGCCCGCGGCGCAUUAGUUAGUUGGUGAGGUAAGAGCUCACCAAGGCGACGAUGCGUAGCCGACCUGAGAGGGUGAUCGGCCACACUGGGACUGAGACACGGCCCAGACUCCUACGGGAGGCAGCAGUAGGGAAUCUUCCGCAAUGGACGAAAGUCUGACGGAGCAACGCCGCGUGAGUGAUGAAGGUCUUCGGAUCGUAAAACUCUGUUGUCAGGGAAGAACAAGCGUGGUUCGAAUAGGGCCAUGCCUUGACGGUACCUGACCAGAAAGCCCCGGCUAACUACGUGCCAGCAGCCGCGGUAAUACGUAGGGGGCAAGCGUUGUCCGGAAUUAUUGGGCGUAAAGCGCGCGCAGGCGGUUUCUUAAGUCUGAUGUGAAAUCUUGCGGCUUAACCGCAAGUGGUCAUUGGAAACUGGGAGGCUUGAGUACAGAAGAGGAGAGUGGAAUUCCACGUGUAGCGGUGAAAUGCGUAGAGAUGUGGAGGAACACCAGUGGCGAAGGCGACUCUCU
Molecule: ribosomal RNA, 651 nt
Filed under: Lentibacillus sp.
Lineage: Bacteria; Bacillati; Bacillota; Bacilli; Caryophanales; Bacillaceae
Description: bacterial SSU rRNA
Rfam family: Bacterial small subunit ribosomal RNA
Source: RNAcentral